RNAcentral lists this ribosomal RNA (481 nucleotides) under uncultured bacterium. RNAcentral describes it as "bacterial SSU rRNA". It matches the Rfam family "Bacterial small subunit ribosomal RNA", at positions 501 to 982 of the family's 1533-position model. The record is from RNAcentral.
CUACGUGCCAGCAGCCGCGGUAAUACGGAAGGUCCAGGCGUUAUCCGGAUUUAUUGGGUUUAAAGGGAGCGUAGGCCGUGGAUUAAGCGUGUUGUGAAAUGUAGACGCUCAACGUCUGAAUUGCAGCGCGAACUGGUUCACUUGAGUAUGCACAACGUAGGCGGAAUUCGUCGUGUAGCGGUGAAAUGCUUAGAUAUGACGAAGAACUCCGAUUGCGAAGGCAGCUUACGGGAGCACAACUGACGCUGAAGCUCGAAGGUGCGGGUAUCAAACAGGAUUAGAUACCCUGGUAGUCCGCACAGUAAACGAUGGAUGCCCGUUGUUAGUUCACUUUAGAAUUAGCGACCAAGCGAAAGCAUUAAGCAUCCCACCUGGGGAGUACGCCGGCAACGGUGAAACUCAAAGGAAUUGACGGGGGCCCGCACAAGCGGAGGAACAUGUGGUUUAAUUCGAUGAUACGCGAGGAACCUUACCCGGGCUU